UGGGGAAUAUUGGACAAUGGGCGCAAGCCUGAUCCAGCAAUGCCGCGUGUGUGAAGAAGGCCUGCGGGUUGUAAAGCACUUUUGGCGGGGAAGAAGGGAUGCGGUGGAAUAUACCGUGUCAUUGACGUUACCCGCAGAAUAAGCACCGGCUAACUCUGUGCCAGCAGCCGCGGUAAUACAGAGGGUGCAAGCGUUAAUCGGAAUUACUGGGCGUAAAGGGUGCGUAGGUGGUGAAGUAAGUUAGGUGUGAAAGCCCUGGGCUCAACCUGGGAAUUGCGCUUAAUACUGUUUCACUAGAGUACUGUAGAGGAAAGUGGAAUUUCCGGUGUAGCGGUGAAAUGCGUAGAUAUCGGAAGGAACACCAGUGGCGAAGGCGACUUUCUGGACAGAUACUGACACUGAGGCACGAAAGCAUGGGGAGCAAACAGG
This 429-nucleotide ribosomal RNA is filed under the name uncultured bacterium. Its description in RNAcentral is "bacterial SSU rRNA". It matches the Rfam family "Bacterial small subunit ribosomal RNA", at positions 355 to 776 of the family's 1533-position model. The record is from RNAcentral.